UCCGAGUUGACCCCGGCAGUCUCCUGCGAGUCCCCGCCAUUACGCGCUGGCAACACAGGACAAGGGUUGCGCUCGUUGCGGGACUUAACCCAACAUCUCACGACACGAGCUGACGACAGCCAUGCAGCACCGGUGCAGCACCCUCGAAGGCGGCCGGAUUUCUCCGGCUCGCAGCUGCAUGUCCAACCUGGGUAAGGUUCUGCGCGUUGCGUCGAAUUAAACCACACGCUCCACCGCUUGUGCGGGCCCCCGUCAAUUCCUUUGAGUUUCAUUCUUGCGAACGUACUCCCCAGGUGGAUCACUUAAUGCUUUCGCUUGGGCGCUGACUGUGUAUCGCCAGCACCGAGUGAUCAUCGUUUACGGCGUGGACUAC
This 373-nucleotide unclassified non-coding RNA is filed under the name uncultured bacterium. RNAcentral describes it as "contains 16S-23S intergenic spacer region". The record is from RNAcentral.